RNAcentral lists this long non-coding RNA (246 nucleotides) under Prunus persica (peach). RNAcentral's name for it is "long non-coding RNA (PPER_LNC005318)". Lineage: Eukaryota; Viridiplantae; Streptophyta; Magnoliopsida; Rosales; Rosaceae. The record is from RNAcentral.
UUAAAUCCCCAAAUUCCCAAUACGUGCACGUUGAAGAAGGUAUCCUAAGGUCCGAUCACAGGUUUAGGAAUCGUUCACGAUUUUACGGUUAACGCUUACCCGCAAACUUUGCAUUAUUGAAUCGGAAUAUCCGGGGCUCCGAUUCAUAAUCCGUGAAGUCCUAUACGGUCCUAGGAAAAUCUAGAACAACAUAUUUUAAUUCGGAAAGGAUCUAAUGCACAAUAUGCGAAAAUCCGUUCGAUAGUC